UACAUUUGCCCAAGGUGUGAAUCUGGCUUCAUAGAAGAGCUUCCGGAGGAGUCUAGGAACAUUGAGAAUGGCUCCAGCUCUUCGGCGUCGACCAGCGACCAGAACCGGCAUCCGUUUGAGAAUGUGGACCAGCAGCUCUUCACCCUGCCCCAGGGCUACGGCCAGUUCACAGUCGGGAUCAUCGAUGAGAACUUUGAGUUCCCAGCAUUUGGGCCAAAUGCCCAGCCGGAGGACAACCGGGAUGCUGAGAACCGACGGGAGCGGGAGCACCAGUCCCGGCACCGCUAUGGGGCUCGCCAGCCUCGGGCACGCUUCACCACGCGGAGGGCCGCCGGCCGGCAUGAGGGCGUCCCCACGCU
Molecule: non-coding RNA, 359 nt
Organism: Anolis sagrei ordinatus
Lineage: Eukaryota; Metazoa; Chordata; Lepidosauria; Squamata; Anolidae
Source: RefSeq, a predicted model, not a curated record